ACAGCAGCAGCCGCGGUAAUACAGAGGGUGCGAGCGUUAAUCGGAUUUACUGGGCGUAAAGCGUGCGUAGGCGGCUUCUUAAGUCGGAUGUGAAAUCCCUGAGCUUAACUUAGGAAUUGCAUUCGAUACUGGGAAGAUAGAGUAUGGGAGAGGAUGGUAGAAUUCCAGGUGUAGCGGUGAAAUGCGUAGAGAUCUGGAGGAAUACCGAUGGCGAAGGCAGCCAUCUGGCCUAAUACUGACGCUGAGGUACGAAAGCAUGGGGAGCAAACAGGAUUAGAUACCCCUGUAGUCCCUGUCUCUUAUAC
This 305-nucleotide ribosomal RNA is filed under the name uncultured bacterium. RNAcentral's name for it is "partial 16S ribosomal RNA". It matches the Rfam family "Bacterial small subunit ribosomal RNA", at positions 505 to 807 of the family's 1533-position model. The record is from RNAcentral.